Molecule: ribosomal RNA, 207 nt
Filed under: uncultured bacterium
Lineage: Bacteria
Description: partial 16S ribosomal RNA
Rfam family: Bacterial small subunit ribosomal RNA
Source: RNAcentral
CGCGUAGGCGGUCUUGUCAGUCCCUUGUGAAAUCCCCCGGCUCAACUGGGAACUGCAAGGGAAACAGCAGGGCUUGAGUUACGGGAGAGGGAAGCGGAAUUCCGGGUGUAGCGGUGAAAUGCGUAGAUAAUCCGGAGGAACACCGGUGGCGAAGGCGGCUUCCUGGACCGAUACUGACGCUGAGGCGCGAAAGCUAGGGAGCAAACG